RNAcentral lists this ribosomal RNA (492 nucleotides) under uncultured bacterium. RNAcentral describes it as "partial 16S ribosomal RNA". It matches the Rfam family "Bacterial small subunit ribosomal RNA", at positions 29 to 507 of the family's 1533-position model. The record is from RNAcentral.
AGUGAACGCUGGCGGUAGGCCUAACACAUGCAAGUCGAACGGCAGCACAGUAAGAGCUUGCUCUUACGGGUGGCGAGUGGCGGACGGGUGAGGAAUAUAUCGGAAUCUACUUUUUCGUGGGGGUUAAGGUAGGGAAACUUACUCCAAUACCGCAUACGCCCUACGGGUGAAAGCGGGGGAUCUUCUGACCUUGUGCGAUUGAAUGAGCCGAUGUCGGAUUUGCUAGUGGGCGGGGUAAAGGCCCACCAAGGCGACGAUCCGUAGCUGGUCUGAGAGGAUGAUCAGCCACACUGGAACUGAGACACGGUCCAGACUCCUACGGGAGGCAGCAGUGGGGAAUAUUGGACAAUGGGCGCAAGCCUGAUCCAGCCAUACCGCGUGGGUGAAGAAGGCCUUCAGGUUGUAAAGCCCUUUUGUUGGGAAAGAAAAGCAGCAGGUUAAUACCCCGCUGUUCUGACGGUACCCAAAGAAUAAGCACCGGCUAACUUCGUG